CCUACGGGAGGCUGCAGUGGGGGAUAUUGGACAAUGGGGGGAACCCUGAUCCAGCGACGCCGCGUGAGUGAAGAAGUAUCUCGGUAUGUAAAGCUCUAUCAGCAGGGAAGAAGAAAUGACGGUACCUGAGUAAGAAGCCCCGGCUAACUACGUGCCAGCAGCCGCGGUAAUACGUAGGGGGCAAGCGUUGUCCGGAAUCAUUGGGCGUAAAGCGUUCGUAGGCGGUAUGUCAAGUCUGAUGUUAAAGCCCGGGGCUCAACUCCGGUUCGGCAUUGGAUACUGGCAAACUAGAAUGUGGUAGAGGUAAAGGGAAUUCCUGGUGUAGCGGUGAAAUGCGUAGAUAUCAGGAGGAACAUCGGUGGCGAAAGCGCUUUACUGGACCAUUAUUGACGCUGAGGAACGAAAGCCAGGGGAGCAAAUGGGAUUAGAUACCCUAGUAGUC
Molecule: ribosomal RNA, 442 nt
Filed under: uncultured bacterium
Lineage: Bacteria
Description: partial 16S ribosomal RNA
Rfam family: Bacterial small subunit ribosomal RNA
Source: RNAcentral